Molecule: long non-coding RNA, 859 nt
Organism: Puntigrus tetrazona (Sumatra barb)
Lineage: Eukaryota; Metazoa; Chordata; Actinopteri; Cypriniformes; Cyprinidae
Exons: 3
Source: RefSeq, a predicted model, not a curated record
AAUAAUAUAUGCUUGGACUGACAGGCCCUUGUGUCAGGACAUUACUGCAUUACUAUUUUAAGAUACAUUUUUGCUAGUCAUAAUGUAAUGGACCAAGACAAGGAAGUGAGUAAAAUGAUAAUAAUGUUUAUUGACACAGCUGAAGCAGCGGAGAUCAGUGGCAGAAACUGAACACAGAAAGACAGGAACACAAUACAGACUGGGAACUGGGAACAUACAGGAAACAUGCUGGAACCGGAAAGGAAGACAAAAGGCAAGUUUCAAGAACAAAGAAAAUCAUACAGGCUUGGACAACAUGAAGAGUGAGUAAAUGAUUACACAAUUGUGAAAUAAAUAACAAAUAAUUAUAAACAUUAUUAACAUUUACAGCUUUGUGUCCUGAAAGCAUGAAAGCACCCAUAGAGAUAUGCAUACAUGGUAUAUCUUGGGACUAUUCCAUUGUGCAGCAUGUCCGUUUUCUGCCCAUGUGAGCGAUCCAAAAUAUUUCAUUGAUAAGUUGGAGCGAGGAGGCACAGAGGAGAGUCUUGCCGUCUCAUGUGCCAUGUGCCUCAUUGCUGAUAAGGAGCCAAGCUUGAACAGUCAAUGGUCACUGGGGCUGCACCAGGGGCUGCGUUCUGCAUCAGAUCCCUGGAGUUCCUUUUGGUUAAGUCACCUCACCUAAAAGCAAGGGUAAAACUGUCUGAACUACACAUCUUUUGCAGUAUCUUAGAGGAGUGUUUUGACAUUCACGACAGAGUCACUUUGCUUUCUGCCUCCUUAAGGCAGUGGAGAGUCUCUUAGGGCCAAGCCAGACAGACAGAGUCAAAAAUCUCAUUAACCUUUAAAUGCUUCAGAUGAAUAUGCUGUCCUUAAUUUGUGA